GAUGAACGCUGGCGGCGUGCCUAACACAUGCAAGUCGAACGGAGAUUACGGACGGAAGUUUUCGGAUGGAAGACUGUAAUUCUUAGUGGCGGACGGGUGAGUAACGCGUGGGCAACCUGCCCUAUACAGGGGGAUAGCAGCUGGAAACGGCUGGUAAGACCGCAUAAGUCGGCGAGACCGCAUGGUUUUGCCGGGAAAUGAGCAAUCAGGUAUAGGAUGGGCCCGCGUCCGAUUAGCCAGUUGGCAGGGUAAAAGCCUACCAAAGCAACGAUCGGUAGCUGGACUGAGAGGUCGGACGGCCACAUUGGGACUGAGACACGGCCCAAACUCCUACGGGAGGCAGCAGUGGGGGAUAUUGCACAAUGGAGGAAACUCUGAUGCAGCGACGCCGCGUGAGUGAAGAAGUAUUUCGGUAUGUAAAGCUCUAUCAGCAGGGAAGAUGAUGACGGUACCUGACUAAGAAGCCCCGGCUAACUACGUG
This 481-nucleotide ribosomal RNA is filed under the name uncultured bacterium. RNAcentral's name for it is "partial 16S ribosomal RNA". It matches the Rfam family "Bacterial small subunit ribosomal RNA", at positions 28 to 507 of the family's 1533-position model. The record is from RNAcentral.